GGUCAGUGAUGAACAGUAAAAGGUCUGAUUUGCCCAGUGGUUUUGCCUCCUUUACCAUCGCAGCUCCCAGCAUUUUCUCUUCCAUCAUAUUCUAGACAUGCUAUGAUUGGGAGAGUAUUUGCUGAUAAAUAGAGAUACGUUCAGUUUGUGUUACUCUAGAGCACUGGGUAGACGUGACUGACAUUGUUAUCCAACAUAUACAGAUAAUGGAGUUUUUGAGGUAUUGGAGCCACUUUAUGGGUAUAUGAUCUCAAAUUUUUAGCUGAGACC
Podarcis muralis (Common wall lizard) is the source of this 270-nucleotide non-coding RNA. Ensembl annotates it as small Cajal body-specific RNA 6. Lineage: Eukaryota; Metazoa; Chordata; Lepidosauria; Squamata; Lacertidae. The record is from Ensembl.